AUAUCAUCAGCAUGCCUGCCUCCAGUGAUCCUGUGUGUCCUUUGGAAUCCGAGGCACUCUGUGAACCUUGAUGCAUGAAUGUAGUGAUAGUAACUACUGGUUCAGAGUCUUUUCAUCCUGAUUGCUGGGCUCUUACCAGGUUUCACACGUCUGGGGGCUCCCCGCUGGUUAGCAAGGCAGCCACUAAGAACUCUCUGAAUAGUCAUUUUCCUUUCGGAAACUGCUUAAAGAUGACUCGGGAGGACUUUUAAAUGGAGAAAUGUUCGUAUGCUGAGAUCCUGGCUGGUGACAGAAGGAUGGAAGAAGUGAUGCCUGAAGGUAUAUUCUAAAUGGUUGUUGUGUCCCUGUAGUCAAAAGGUGUGUGGGCAUGGUUUCUUAUUUUAAACAGUUUUCUUAAAUCAAUAAACAUUGGGUUAUGAAUCUCAGAUAUAGGAUCUUUUUCAACUUUUAAUCUGGACGACUUUGAAUUAAAGAAAAAAAAGAACAACUGUUCCAUUAUAAUUCAUGUAAAAUCAAGUCCAGGGCCAUGAGGGGCCGAGAUAAAGGGAACAACUAGAAGUAAGUGGAGGAUAUAAUUUCUCAGAAAAUUCUUAUAUUUUCUGUGCCUGGAAAUGGUUUCAAUACACAUCAUAAAAAUGAUAUAAAACUCAAUCAACAGAAGAACUUUUUGUUUCUUUAUUUUCAAUAUUUGUCUUAUUAAUAUUUUUCUUAUUUUAUAAUGCAAUUACAACAAUUUAGGAGACAAAACAAUAUAAACAAAAGAAUGUUAAAUAGUUUUUUUUAAAAAAUAGCUUGUUGCUUGCAAGAAAGUCCAUAUAAUCUUAUUCCCCCCCAAAUAUAAUUUUAUACUUUGCACUAAACCAAAAUAGCUUAUGGAAAAUUAGUAUUAAAUAGCUAAACACAGAAAACCUACAGCUAUAAAUAACAUAAAAUACAGUUUAACUUUAAUGUGAUGCUUAAACAAAGCAAACUAUGAUGCAAUAUGAAUCAACUUCAUUAAUUGGACAAGUCCAGUGAGGCACAAAUUAGAUAAGCACUAAACCCUCCAUGAUGUGCAAGUGAAACCUCCAACCCCAGCAAGGUUCUUUCUGUUCUUGGGCUAUGUCCAAUUCCAUUCCAGAAAAGCCACAGUUUUUACAUGUUCUUGACUUUUUUACUGUAAAAUGAAAAAGAAGAAAAGUGUAAGUAAUGACAAGGUGACUGCAUGGUGGGAAUGACUUUGGUACCUAAAGGUUGCUUCACCUGCCCUUAAUCUCAACUCAGUAUGUCAAGCAGCUCAGAGUUCAGAUGAGGAAAUUGAGGUUUAGAGAGGAUGGCCCUUGCCCAACCUAACUCAGCUCAUUAAUGACAGAAACAGGCUAUGGACACUUAUCUUGUGUCUCCAAGUUCAGUAUCUAUGGCAUGCUGGUGUUAGGUGCCUUCUGUCCAUUGAUAAAGUGUUACUGUCUAUUAUUGUCAACGUAAAUCAGAACCAUUGAUCUCUGUUUAACUAAUGUUCAUUUUUCAGUUUUUAACAAACAACCAAAUGCCAGAUUGCCUUUAAAUUAUAUAAAUAGUAGGCAUCUUUGCAACAAGAAUCAGGCAGCUAGUAACUAUCAAAUGCAUAGAGAAAUCUAAUACAUCAUGUAAGAAAUCACUAAAUUAAAAUAAUAAUAACGAUGAUGAUCUGUAAGUGGAAAAAUGCAUUCUUUGUUUUUGUGGUCCAACUCAAAUUUUCCCUUUAAAAAUUCCACAAUAGUUAAACUAAAGAAUCCCAGAAAACCUACGGCCCACCCCUUUGCACACUCCUCUUUCCUCAAACAUUUGCAAAGGCUAAAUGUCAGUGUAACAUACCUGAGGAGACGCACAAUAUAUUUCACCCAAGUCUGUUUUGGAUUUGCGCACACAGACAACUUUUUCUUUGUGUGAAAGCUGAAAAAUCAGAAAAUUUGAUUUGUGUUUAAUGAGCUUUUCAAUGGGUUUUUCAUAGAACAUACAAUGGAAAUUUUAUAUUCCAGUUGAUUACACACUAAACAUUUCAGUUGAUGAGGUAAAAUAAAAUGCACAAAAAAUGCUUCUGAUGAAGAUUAAUGCAAAAUCAAAGUGAUUCUCUCUUUCUCUGCAAUGUAACAAAUAAUAGUACAAUGGCAGGAAGAUAAAGUCCCAGAAUUGUCAUAUAAUUUUGCUAUUGGUGGUUACAUAGAAUAUGUAUGUAUCUGAUCAAUAACUUGUAUAAUUCCAAAAUAUAAUAUCCUAUAUAAAUCAAGAAAAUUAUAUGUGAUAGUAUAAUUAGUCUGAGAUUUUACUUUUGGUCUCAAACACUUUCUGGUAGAAGAUGCUCAUUUCGAAAUGUGUAUCUUCCCUAUUUUCCUAAUAUAUCACUUUAAUAGCCUUAGAAAGUGAUUUUUGCCCUAUACUAGUUCCGUUUGACCAAAAAAAAUUUUUAAAAAAGGUUUUGCCUUAUUCCAGUCCUGUUUAAAGUGAACUUUAAAGUAGAUAUGUACUAAGACAAAGCUAUCUUUGCCACAUCAUUUCUUUCUCUUUAAAAUAAGAUCUUAUGUUCAAAACAUCAGUAAUUUCUGAAUGAAACUCUAAAAAGGCAAACAUUUUUAAAACUGAAGUUUCUAGGUAUUCCUGAUACAACUGAAUUAAAAUCAAUUAAUAACUUACAUGAUAGCAUUGAUGUCACAGCCUUCAUUGGCCAGCUGCCGUGUGAAGCCCACAAUAAAUUUAGGAUGAAGAAUACGGUCUGUGUAUCCAAGACAGCAGUCAAAGUUGCUUGCUGCUAAAAAAAAAAAAAAGUGAAAGGUAUUGGAUCCACAUGAAUAAACUUAUCCUGUGAUUGGUAUUAUAAAACUACCUUAAGUUGUGAAAAAUCUAGUGAAUCUCAUGUAUAUGACGAAUAAACCACUUAGAGGAGGAGUUUCAAUGUCUUGGAAACCUUUGUAAGGUCGUUGAGAACCAAUCUAACAUAGUUUACAGUUCUUUGAAAAAACAGUUUGUGUGCCGAGAAGUUUUGGUUCAAUAAUAGAAUUGAGAAACACAGGACUUCUCAUAAGUGGGAUAUCUUCAGUAAGAAAUACAAAUUGACAAUAUUUCAUUUCAGUUCACUAUAAUCAUUCAAGAAUAUGAGCAGCCCCUUCCCUACUGCUUGAAGGAACCCUUAUGUAGAUAAACUUCCAAAAGCAGAAAAUGAAUAAAUUGGCAGAUUUUAAUCUAUUAUCUGGCUACUAAGUAUUGAGAAAUAGAGCUACAAAGGGAAAUAUGAUUUAUAGGAGUGAAAACACUUUGAAAUUGUCCUAUUAAUUAAUAGGAAUGUUUAAUUUUGUUCAUAAAAGUUCAACAUGUGGUUGGGCAUGGUGGCUCAUGCCUGUAAUCCCAGCACUUUGGGAGGCCAAGGAGGAAGGAUUGCUUGCCUCCAGGAGUUCGAGACCAGCCUGGGCAACACAGUGAAACCCUGUCUCUACAAAAAAAAAAAAAAUGUAAAAAAAUUAGCCAGGUGAGUGGCACACGGCCGUGGUCCCUGUUAUUCAAGAGGCUGAGACUGGAGGUUCACUUGACUCCAGGAGGUUGAGGCUGUAGUGAGCUGUAAUCAUGCCACUGCACUCUGGCCUGGGUGAUGAAGUUAGACCCUGCCUCAGAAAAAAAAAAAAAUUCAAUGUGCAUUUUUAGGAAUGCACCUGUUGCUAAAAGUGUUGUGUGACUAUUGAGCAAUAAAGCAAUACUUGGACAUUCCCGAGUCAGAUUACAACAUGCUGUAAGGUAAGGGAUUAAUGUUAUUUUAAAGUUGGCAAGCAAUGUCCCCCAUGCCUUGUGGGGAUGUUGAUGUCAGGUAUUAUAAUCUACUUCUAAAGGAUGAGUUUUGAACUUUACCAAAACUAUUAAGUUGGGAGGUACGAAAGUUGGGGACACAGGAGGAUUCUCUACAUUUCAAAAUGGCCCCAUCUACUGGUAACAUUACACACUUUAUAUCACUCCCAGAAACAUCACUUUGGCUUUAUCCUGAAGUUUAGGGAUCUCUAAGAGCCCACCACUCCCCAAAUCUGCUGAGAUUGACAGCAGAGAGGAAAGCCUGAUCCGCAGCAGUAACUCUUCUCUCCUCCACUCCACCAUGGGCAGACAACUUCCAUCACUACCUCUUGUAUACUUCCUAACAGUUUUCCAUCCCUUAGGGACCCCCAGUUGAGCUCAAGGCUAAAAGGAAAAUGAAAAUAGUCUUUCUUCUGUGCUAGCGGAAAGAGCGACACUUACCUUCUGAUUCGCCGCAGAGGUGGAGUAGCAGCACUGACAUCAAAGCAGCCAGGAGCAAACUCUUGGUACAGCACAUGGUUUUUAGCUCAAAGAACAGAUCUGCUCAGUGUUGAGUACCCAGUUCUUUGGGAGUGCUGUUAUAUUCUGACAGCAGCCUGGGAUGGCCCUAUUUAUAGCAAAUAUUGGGAAUGUACACAGAAGGCGUGUUGCCACAUGGGGUUUUCCCCAUUGAUCAACUGGCCCCAUCAUGUCAUCAUAAAAAAAACCCGCAAGGAAAACUUCCUGCUUUUUCCUCAUAUUGGGAAGGUGCGAAGGUCAGGGUGGGGGACAGGAAGUUGAGAAGGGGAGAAUCCUGUUAAAUUCUUUGUAUUUGCAAAGAGCAAAAGCAGCUCAGCCCUGUGACCCAGAAAAGACUUUCAUCCAGUUUUAACUUAAUCAUUUUUGUGUCUGAAAAUAGAGGAUUAACAGCGAUACAAAGGUCAGCCCCACACAGGAACAUUCCAGAACUCCUAUUGUUACACCCUAUUUGCUUUCCAGAACCAGUCAAGGAGGAGGGGGAGGAGGAGCAGGUGGGAUGCCAGGCAUACUCUGCUACACAUUUACCAUCACAUGGUUGAGGUUCAGCUGUCAUGAAGAAGACCCUGAGUUGCUAGACUAACAUUCAGAGCAGGUACUAUAACAGUGCUACAGUACUGUCCGCAGUUAGAGUGGAAAAUAUCAGCCUUUAAGUAAGGCUCAAACCUCAGCUUCACCUUGAUUUAAUGUCAACUCUUCUAAGAAUCUUAUACAUUCACAUGGCUUUAAUCAAUAUUGCAGUUCAGAAAAUAAUCCUUACCUACCUUUAACUCUCCAUGAUGAUGUACUAAUAUAACUCAAUAUAGAGCCUCAGAAUUGUUGAGGAAAGAAAACCUAUCAGCAGUAGCUAGUCAGCACAGCAAAUGUCAAAUAACAGUACUAAUGAUGAUAAUGUAAUAUGAAUCCCUAACCUAAGGCAGUAUAAGAACUCUCCACUAGACCCAAAUAGGUUGAAAGUAAAAGGAUCAAAAGAAAGGUAUACCAAACAGUAAACAAAAGAGAACUGGAGUUGGUGAUGCCUAUAUCAGACAAAAUAGAUUUUUUUUUAAUGUUACCGGAAAUAAAAAGGGACUUUCAUGGUAACACAAAAUUAACCCAUUGGGAAGAUGUAAAACCUAUAACCAUAUAUAUACCUAACAGUAGCACCCCAAACUACAGAAAGCAAAAACUGACAGAAUUGAAGGGAAGAAUAGGAAAUUUUAUUUUAUUUUAUUAUUAUAAUUUCUUUUGAGACAGAAUUUUGCUCUUGUUGCCCAGGCUGGAGUGCAGUGGCACCAUCUCGGCUCACUACAACCUCCGCCUCCUGGGUUCAAGCGAUUCGCCUGCCUCAGCCUCCUGAGUAGCUGGGACUACAGGCACGUGCCACCACGCCCAGCGAAUUUUUGUAUUUUUAGUAGAGACGUGGUUUCACCAUGUUGCCCAGGCUGAACUCCUGACCUCAUUACAGGCAUGAGCCACCGUGCCCAGCAGAAUAGGAAAUUUAACAAUAAAAGUUGACAGCUUUGGUACCACAUUUUCACUAAUUAAUAAAAUUUAGGCAGAAGAUCCACAAGAAAAUAGAAGACUUGAACAACACUAUAAGCCAAAUAGACUUAGCAGGCAUCGAAGGACUACUCUAUCCAACAUCAACAGAAUAGUUGCACAUGGAAUGUUCUCUAGGAUAAAGCAUAUGGUAGGUUAUGGAACAAGUCUCAGUAAAUGUAAACCGACUGAAAUCACAUAAAGUAUACAUUCAAACCACAAUGGAAUUAAAUCAGAAAUCAGUAACAGACAGAAAGGAAACCACAUAUUCCUAAAUAACCAAUGUGUCUGGCCAGGAGUGGUGGCUCAUGCCUGUAAUCCUAGCAUUUUGGGAGGCCGAGGUGGGUGGACUGCCUGAGGUCAGGAGUUCGAGACCAGACUGGCCAACAUAGUGAAACCCUGUCUCUACUAAAAAUACAAAUAUUAGCCGGGUGUGGUAGUCCAUGCCUGUAAUCCCAGCUACUUGGGAGGCUGAGGCAGGAGAAUCGCAUGAGCCCAGGAAGCAGAAGUUACGGCGAGCCGAGAUCACGCUACUGCCCUCUAACCUGGCCAACAGAGACUCCAUCUCAAAGGAAAAAACAACAACAACAACAACAAUGUGUCAAAAGAAAAGUCACUAGAGAAAGUAGAAAACAACUUUGAAAUGUAAAAAAAAGUCCACAACAUAUCAAAACUUAUAGGAUGUAGCAAAAGCAGUCCUCAGAAGGAAACUUAUAGCUGUAAACACUCACAUUAAAAAAAAAAAAAAAGAAACAUCUCAAAACAAUAACCCAAACUUCUACCUUAAGAAACUAGAGAAAAGCAGAGCAAGCUAAACCCAAAGCAUGCAGAAGGAGGGAAAUGAAGAUUAGAGCAGGAAUAAAUAAAACAGAGAAUGCAAAACAAUAGAGGAAAUCAACGAAUGCGAAAGUUAGUUCUUUGAGAAGAUCAACAAAACUAACAAGCCUUGACUAGACCAAACCAAACAAAGGAAAGGGAGGUAAAAAAAAAAAAAAAAAAAAAAAAACUGUAUGCAAAUAAAAUUACUAUGCCGACAGCACAGUAAAAAGAUCAUACACCAUAACCAAGUGGGAUUUAUUCCAGGAAAUGUAAUACAACAAAUCAAUCAAAUAAAAAAUAAAAAUGAUUUGAAAAGCAACUGACAAAAUCCAACACGUUGUCAUGACAAAAACACUCAACUAACUAGGAAUAGUUGAGAACUUUCUCAACCUGAUAAAAGUCAUCUAUGACCACCUCACAGCUGAUACGAAUAGAGAUGAAAGACACAAAUUAUUGACCCUGAUUCAAGAAGAAAAUAGAAAAUUUGGGAUGGGCGUGGUGGCUCAUGCCUGUAAUCCCAGCACUUUGGGAGGCCAAGGCGGAAGGAGCACAAGGUCAGGAGAUCGAGACCAUCCUGGCUAACAUGGUGAAACCCUGUCUCUACUAAAAAUGCAAAAAAUUAGCCUGGUGUGGUAGCGGGCACCUGUGAUCCCAGCUACUAGGGAGGCUGAGGCAGGAGAAUGGCGUGAACCCGGGAGGUAGAGGUUGCAGUGAACCAAGAUCGUGUCAUUGUACUCCAGCCUGGGCGACACAGCAAGACUCCAUCUCAAAAAAAAAAUAGAAAAUUUGAAUAGAGCUAUAACAAGUAAAGAUAUCAAAUUGAUAACCAAAUAUUUUUCACAAAUAAAACCUCAGGACCAGAUUAAUUCACUGGUUAAUUCUACAAAACAUUCAAAUAAGAAUUAAUACCAGUUCUUCACAAACUUUUUCAAAGUAUAGAAGAGAAGGGAACCCUCUUCAACUUCUUCUAUGAGGACAGUAUUAUCCUGACACCAAAAUAAGAUAAACACAUCACAAGAAAAGAAAACAACAGACCAAUGUCCUUUCCGAAUACAAACACAAAAACAAAACAACAUAGUAAAAGGACCAUACACCAUAACAAGUGGGAUUUAUUCCAGGAAAUGUAAUACUACAAAUUAAUUGAAUAAAAAUAAAAACUAUAUGAAAAGUAACUAACAAAAUCCAGCACCUUCUCAUGACAAAACACUCAACAAACUAGGAAUAGCAGAGAACAUCUCAACCUGAUAAAGGUCAUCUAUGACUGCCUCAUAGCUGAUAGCACACUCAAUGUUGAAAGACUUACUGCCUUUUCCCUGAGAUCAAGGACAAGACAAGGAUGUUCAGUCUCACCGCUUCUAUUCAACACAAUUUCUUUUCUUUUCCUCUCUCUCUCUCUCUUUUUUGAGAUGGAGUUUCACUCUUGUUGCCCGGGCUGGAGUGCAAUGGCGCAAUCUCGGCUCACUGCAACCUCUGCCUCCCAGGUUCAGCCAAUUCUCCUGCCUCAGCCUCCCAAGUAGUUGGAACUACAAUCAUGCACCAUCACACCUUGCUAAUUUUGUAUUUUUAGUAGAGACAGGGUGUCGCCAUGUUGGCCAGUCUGGUCUUGAACUCCUGACCUCAGGUGCUCCGCCCACCUCAGACUCCUAAAGUGUUGAGAUUACAGGUGUGAGCCACCAUGCCCGGCCUAUUUAACACAAUUUCUAUUAAAAUCCUGGCUGGCUUCUUUGUAGAAAUGGAAAAGCCAAUACUCAAAUUCAUGUGAAAUUGCAAGGGACCUUGAAUUGAUAAAACAAUCCCAAAAAGGAAGAAUAAAGUUGGAAGACUCACACUUUCUGAUUUCAAAAUUUACUAAAAAAUCACACUAAAUCAAGACAUGUGAAAAUUGCAUGAGUGUUCACAUCAAUGGCAUACAAUUGAGAAAUAAGCCCCCAUGUCUAUGGUCAACUGAUUUUGUGUUAGGGUGGCAAGACCAUUCAAUGGGGGAAGAACAGUCUUUUCAACAAAUAGUGCUGGAACUACUGGAUAUUCACAGCAAAAGAAUAAAGUUAGACCAUUACUUCACACUAUAUAUAAAAAUUAAUUCAAAAUGGAUCAUAGAUCUCAAUGUAAGAGUUAAAAACAUGAAAUUCUUAGAAGAAAACAUAGGAGAAAAUCUUCAUGACCUUGGGUUGGGCAAUGACUUGUUAGAUACAACACCAAAAGCUCAAACAAUAAAAUUAAAAAUUAACGAACUGGACCAAAUCAAAACUAAACAUUUUUAUGCUUCAAAGGACACUAUAAAGAAUGUGAAAAGAAAACGCAUAGAAAGGAAAGGAAAAAUUUGCAAGUCAUAUAUAUGAUAAGGGACAUUUACUUGUAUAGAGAAUAUAUAAAGAACUCUUACAACUCAAUAAGAAGAAGAUGAGUGACCCAAUUAAAAAAUGAGGAAAACAGCUGAAUAGACAUUUCUCCUAAGAAGAUAAAUAAAUGUCCAACAAGCACAUAAAAAGAUGCUCAAAAUUUUUAGUAAGUAGGAAAAUGCAAAUCAAAACCACCAUGACAUACCACUUCACAUCCACUAGGAUAGCUAUAACCAAAAAGACAAAUAAUAAGUGUUGGCAAUGAUGUAGAGAAAUUGGAAUCCUUAUAUGUUGUUGAUGGAAAUAAAAAAAUGGUGCAGUCAUUUUGGAAGACACUUUGACAAUUCCUCAAAUAGUUAAUUAGAGAGUUACCAUGUGACCCAGCAAUUCUACUCCCAGGUUUACACCCAACAGAAAUGAAAAUAUAUGUCCACACAAAAAUGUGUACGUGAAUGUUUGUAGCAGCAUUAUUCAUAAUAGCCAAAAAAGUAGAAGCAGCCCAAAAGUUAUAAACUGAUAUAUAAAUAAAUUAAACCUGGCAAAUCAAUACAACGAAAUAUUAUUCAGCAAUAAGAUACUGAUAGAAACUACAAAAUGAAGCUGGGCAUGGUGGCUCACACCUGUAAUCCCAGCACUUUGGGAGGCCAAGGAAGACGGAUCACUUGAGGUCAGGAGUUUGAGACCAGCCUGGCCAACAUGACAGAACCCCAUCUCUACUAAAAAUACAAAAAUUAGCCAGGAGUGGUGGCUUGCACCUGUAAUCUCAGCUACUUGGGAAGCUGAGGCAGGAGAAUUGCUUGAACCUGGGAGGUGAAGGUUGCAGUGAGCCAAGAUCGUGCCACUGUACUCCAGCCUGGGUGACAGAGUGGGACUCUUUCUCCAAAAGAAAAAAGAAACUACAAAACGGAUGAACCUUGAAAACACUAUGCUAAGUGGAAAAGCCAAGCACAAAAGACCACAUAUUGUCUGAUUCCAUUUACAUAAAAUGUUCAGAAAUGGUGAAUCUAUGGAGAGGAGAAGUAGAAUAGUGACUGCCUAGGGCUGGGUUGUGGUGUCCAGGGAAGGGAAGGGGAUUGGGGAGUGACUGCUAAGGGGUAUGUGGUUUGUUUUUUAUUUUUUAUUUAUAAAUACAUAUGGUUGAUGGUUGCACAACCCUAUAAAUAUACUAAAAACACACUGAAUUGUUUACAUAAAAAGGGUCAUUUUAUGGUAGGUCAAUUAUAUCUCAAUAAAGCUGAUAACAAAACAAAACAAAAAAGGAACUCUCCAUGUACCUACAUCUUAACACGCACCCCAGCCCAUGGAUGCUUUUUCUUUCUUUACGACUACUCUUGGUUCCCUAUAGUCUGUGUUCAUUUCUCCUUCCUCCAUUCCUGUUGUCUCUUCUCCUCCCUCUCUCUCAUGUCUUAAUCACAGAUCUCUUUUCUUCUCCAUUUAAUAGCCAUAAAUAAACUAUUUUUAGUAUCUUUAUAUUGACUAGAAUUGCAUUUCCUUGUGCUUAUUUUGAUCGAUGUACCAUUUCAUAUUUGUCCCUUUAAAACUUUCUAAAAUGUGGGUGGGUGCGGUGGCUCAUGCCUCUAAUCCCAGCACUUUGGCAGGUCGAGGCAGGCGGAUCCCUAGAGCUCAAGAGUUUGAGACCAGCCUGGGCAACAUGGCAAAACCCUUUCUCUACAAAAAUUAGCCAGGCCUGGUGGCACACGCCUUUUGUUUCUGGCUACUUGGGAGGCUGAAGUGGGAGGACUGCUCUAGCUUGGGAGAUAGAGGUUGCAGUGAGCCAUGAUAACACCACUGAACUCUAGUCUGGGUGGCAGAGUGAAACCCCAUCUCAAAAAAUAAUAAUAAUAAUUUU
Molecule: long non-coding RNA, 10833 nt
Filed under: Homo sapiens (human)
Lineage: Eukaryota; Metazoa; Chordata; Mammalia; Primates; Hominidae
Description: non-protein coding lnc-SLC19A3-4:1
Source: RNAcentral